UAGGGAAUUUUCGUCAAUGGGCGCAAGCCUGAACGAGCGAUGCCGCGUGAGUGAAGAAGGCCUUCGGGUCGGUAAAGCUCUGUUGCCGGGGAAAAGGAAGGAAGAGGAAUGCUUUCUUUGGAUGGUACCCGGCCAGAAGUCACGGCU
This 147-nucleotide ribosomal RNA is filed under the name uncultured bacterium. RNAcentral's name for it is "partial 16S ribosomal RNA". It matches the Rfam family "Bacterial small subunit ribosomal RNA", at positions 355 to 498 of the family's 1533-position model. The record is from RNAcentral.